CAAGGACGAGCUCUGUCUCCACUUCUGCAAAUAGCGACAAGUCUGAAAGUAUACCUUCUGUGAGAAGGAGACUAGUGUGGGGGAUUAGACAGCAUCAGAACUUUCCGGAACGAUAUCUAAAAUUUGGAGUUUUGAGCUCAGACUUUGAGGGAAGCACAAAUCCACGGCUGCUCGCUAGAGGAUAAGCCCCCCUGCGCUCAAACUUAAUGAGCACGAGUAAGCCCAUUCCUGCAGCUCCACGCAAGAGAAACGAUCAUGAAGUGUGCUGAAGAAUGACAGAGACAAAGCGAGAGAGACUGGAAGAAAGGACAAGCCAGAGAGUGCAAAAGCGAGAGAGGUUGUCUGCCAAAGGGAGACUCUUUAAUUCGGUCUCUGUUGAGGAGUGGGUCGAGUGGAACGCUGGCCUGUCUGUCACUGCGAGGCUCCAGUGACCGUCUGACAGAUCACAGCACAGCGCCGCAUCAGGGGGGCCAGUAAAUUGGCCCGGGGGGCCUCCCUAGUCUCCUUUCUCCAGCUGAAUCUGCAGAGGCGAGGCUGAUGGGUAGUGUGGUACACAGGAGGCUAUUUAUGAGACAUAUUUGUCCAUGGCAGCAUUUUCAGCAAAAGCGGUUUACAUGUGUUCGGGGUUGUCGGGGGGAGCGAGGCACCCUGGAAGGAAUACAGGAUGGGCUGAGUAGGUGGAGUAGGUGGGCACAAGGGGUGGGAGUACAUUAGUCCGUGAGGCCACAGCUCAGCGGGAGACCAGUCCAGACAUCAGUGGAGUAAAGUCAUCACAUCACAGUGUUUUGUGUCCCCAGUGGGGCCUCUGUCACUAGAAAAGCCCUGUUAUUUUGUUGUAUGACGUCCCCUUAAGCGAGAUUUCACAGACUGUCCCUGAGUAUCGACAACAGACCUCUGUCUAGCCCGGAUGCUAUCCCGCAGAUUUUCAGCUGCUGGUUGGUCGCAGCCAAUUCAGCAUGUAUCUGCUUGCGGCCACAACAGGAUUCCAGUAACACCACAUCUCAGAUCAAUAGAGACAUCCAUAAGACACAAGCUGACAAUAACAUGACUGGUAGCAGCACUGUUCAGCAUGGUGGGGGGAAAAAACAACAACAGCAACUGGAUGAACAUAAAUAAAACAGAGGCUCCCUUCUGCAUAGACUGAUUUGUAAUUAUGUCGAAAACAAA
Long non-coding RNA from Cyprinus carpio carpio, 1167 nucleotides. NCBI's taxonomy places the organism in Eukaryota, Metazoa, Chordata, Actinopteri, Cypriniformes, Cyprinidae. The record is from Ensembl.